UACGUAGGUGGCAAGCGUUGUCCGGAAUUACUGGGUGUAAAGCGCGUGUAGGCGGGAGGCCAAGUCGAGUGUGAAAGCCCCCGGCUCAACUGGGGAGGGUCACUCGAUACUGAUCGACUCGAAGGCAGGAGAGGGAAGUGGAAUUCCCGGUGUAGUGGUGAAAUGCGUAGAUAUCGGGAGGAACACCAGUGGCGAAGGCGACUUCCUGGCCUGUUCUUGACGCUGAGGCGCGAAAGCUAGGGGAGCAAACGGG
Molecule: ribosomal RNA, 253 nt
Filed under: uncultured bacterium
Lineage: Bacteria
Description: partial 16S ribosomal RNA
Rfam family: Bacterial small subunit ribosomal RNA
Source: RNAcentral